Drosophila virilis is the source of this 1987-nucleotide non-coding RNA. The record is from RefSeq and is a predicted model, not a curated record. Lineage: Eukaryota; Metazoa; Arthropoda; Insecta; Diptera; Drosophilidae.
GAUUGGCAGCAGCAGCGUAACCCAACUUGCAAACGUAACAUUAUGCCUGUUUGGGAGCUGCAGCCCCAAUGGAAACCAAUGGAACCAAAUGGUACCCAGUCCCACAUCAAUGGCAAACGCGUGCCUAUAAAUUUCCAGGGGUUUGUGUGUGUGCGUGUGGGCACACCCUUGUGGGCGGGGCCAUUCAUUUGGUGUCGCUAACUUGAGAUUUUUAUUUGCCAGCAUACGCAAACGUUGCGUGCGCUGGUGGCACCGCCUGGAUUUCUUUAUUCAAUCGUUUUUGUUGCUCCCACAGCGCCCUCAUCAUCAGUUGCCAUAAAAUAAAAGUUACGCACACCCCAGGGACAACAUAACAGGCCACACACACAGACUCGCACACACACGCACACACACAUGCAUGUCCUGCGGCAUGGUGGCAACCAUGGCAUGCUUGACCGAUUUUGUAAGGUUUCAUUUUCAAUACGGAGAGACAUAUGAGCAGUGACCACAAAUAAUUUCCAUAGCGGCAAAAUGGAAAAUUGCGAACAAAAAAUAGAAGAGUAGGGAAAUUUGCAUGCUGCGCAGUUUUCAAUGAACAAUGACGUCACACACACAUACACGCACACACGCUCGAUAAGGAACACAGCAGUUGACACAGCAUUGCAGAGGCUUAUCAAAUCGAGCUAUAAACCGAACCCAACCCAACCCAACUCAAGCCAACUCAACUCAAGUCAAGUCAAGUCGAGCAGAAGCAAUGAAAAUUCAGCCUGAGAUUUUCCUGGGCUGGAGGAAAGUGCUAAGCUUAUUGCGUCGUUUAGGCAACACCCGAAACGAAUUGCCGGCGAAAAGACGCCAACGAAUGUGAACCCUUUGAGUGACAGACAUGAAGAUAUAAGCACACAUCCAAACAAAGGCGCACACUCACACGCACACACACACACAUACGCACACACUAAACGGAGCAGUCGUUUAGACUUUUCACGUAAGCAACUUUAAGGCUUUCAUUUGCAAGGAAAGCUGUGACUGGCUUCAAAGUGGCGCAAAGUGUCGCCUUCGCGUCGUCAGUGGUGCGCCACAUGCGAGUGAGUUUCUGGCCAGCAGCUUUCCGGUCGGGACAUGGCUCAUGUUACCAGGCAACUGGGCGGACUGUUGGGCGGUGUUGUAUAACGUGUAACGGAUCUGCAAGUUUUUUUUCUCUCUGUUUGUUUUUGUUUUUGCGGCAACGGCAACGGCAAUUUUUAUGACUCUAUUUACCCAAGGCACACACGAGGCGCACAAGAAACUUGGCCAUUGCUGCUGAUAAGAAAUGUGAGCUUGAAGCUACAAGCUCGGAACUGGGAGCUGGGAACGCAGUCUGGGAAAUUUAUGCAGAUUUUGAGGCCCAAAAGACAACACACACGCUGAUGUGACAUGGGCAUGGGUUGAGUAAAGUGACUAUUGUAAAAUAUAUUAACAUAAAUUUGACAUAAAUGCUUCAAGAACAGUUUUUACCGCAACGCUUCAGGCGGAGCUUGUCUAAAAAAUAUAAAUGGCAAAGCAAAUCUAAAACAGCUAAAGCCAACGCGACGUCAACGCGCAUAAUAAAUGGCAAAUAACUCUGCAAAUGCCGCCCGUUGCUCCGGUUGGACAGUCAUUGGAUAUUCAUCAUACGCCCCGUUGCCCCGCUCUUCCAUUGCUCGCAGCAGCGAAACUCGUCAAAAAAUGCGGCAACGCUCGGAAAAUGCGUCGGCGCUAAAAUAUGCAAACGAAAUAUUGCGUGCGACAAAUGAAAGGACAAUUUACUUUGGAGUGUCUCUCUUCAAUUGGCUGCGCGUAUAUAUUACAUAUAUAUAUAUAUUUAUAAAGGACAUUUAUCAGUGAACUUUGAGUGCAAUGGAGAAUCGGCGUCAAAAUGAAAAAUACAAUCAAUUAACAUUUAAUGCUGUACACUCAAACGAAAACAUUUCCCACCUACUUUACAUAAAGCUUGUCUAAAUAUAUCUCUGCGAUUCCGAAAUUUUCUUGAAUA